AUGAAUAUGUAUAAGCCUGGCGAACGGUAUCUAUCAAACUCUAUGUUGAAGACCCUCUCGAUCGGUCUUCAAGUUCUGCAUGCCAAUGUGGUAGGUAAAUCAAAAGAAGGUCAACAUGGAUACACGACCAAGGUCAUAGAAGGUUAUAGUUUCAUCCAGGAGUUUCUGGCCGACAAAAUUGAUCUGGCCUUUAAUGAGGUCAUUCAUGCAAAUAUCUUCUCUGUCAGCACAGUCUCCCUAGAUUUAAUGAUGAUUUGGGUACUUCAUCGAGCUAUAGACCCCCUACUCCUGAUUGGUAAAGUGUCCUUACCAAAUCCUUUUUACAUGCACUGCCACAACCUAGAAACCACAGAUAGCCAGGAGGUUAUCUAG
This 372-nucleotide ribosomal RNA is filed under the name Triticum aestivum (bread wheat). RNAcentral's name for it is "partial small subunit ribosomal RNA". Lineage: Eukaryota; Viridiplantae; Streptophyta; Magnoliopsida; Poales; Poaceae. The record is from RNAcentral.